RNAcentral lists this transfer RNA (70 nucleotides) under Kurtus gulliveri (nurseryfish). RNAcentral describes it as "tRNA-Ala". It matches the Rfam family "tRNA". From Rfam's summary of the family: Transfer RNA (tRNA) molecules are approximately 80 nucleotides in length. Their secondary structure includes four short double-helical elements and three loops (D, anti-codon, and T loops). Further hydrogen bonds mediate the characteristic L-shaped molecular structure. tRNAs have two regions of fundamental functional importance: the anti-codon, which is responsible for specific mRNA codon recognition, and the 3' end, to which the tRNAs corresponding amino acid is attached (by aminoacyl-tRNA synthetases). tRNAs cope with the degeneracy of the genetic code in two manners: having more than one tRNA (with a specific anti-codon) for a particular amino acid; and 'wobble' base-pairing, i.e. permitting non-standard base-pairing at the 3rd anti-codon position. Lineage: Eukaryota; Metazoa; Chordata; Actinopteri; Kurtiformes; Kurtidae. The record is from RNAcentral.
AAGGCCUUAGCUUAGUUUAAAGUGUCUGUUUUGCAUAUAGGAGAGGUGGGUUAAAUUCCCGCAGGUCUUA